UGCGUUUCUUCUUCUGUCCUCUCUCUACUUGUCUUUAAUAUUUAUUAAACAACAUAAUAAAUAAACAGUUUUACUAAAAAGAAAUGUUACAGAAACGAUUGGUAGCAUUACAGUAGCUGCCUUUAACCCUCAUGAACACAGGUAACCAUGGGAACAGGUGUUAGUGAGUUAAUAGUGACUCAGGUGUGCUCAGGCUGUAUCUGUCCUGUGAUUGGCUGUCGGGGAGGAGUGAUGAAGAUGAGAACGGUUUCGCUAAAACUGCUGAUAUCCUGUGAUGUCACACCUUCUCUUGGCUGUCUGACCAAUCCGCUGCCAGCUCAUUAUGGGAUGUAAACUCUGUUAGCGGUUAGCUCGUUGAAUUUGAAGUAAACUCUGUCUCUCUCUCCUCAGUCACAGACGGACGACACCAGCUCGUUCCCAAAGACGUUAGAGAGGAGGCGGAGAAAUACGCCAAGGACUCUCUGGAGGAGGAGGAUGACUCCGAUGAAGACAACAUGUAGACUCCUAUGACGCCGCCCCUUCUUCACUUUAUUUUGUAUGUUUUGUAGUUCAUGAACUUUCAUGUUUCAUUUGGUUUGAAUUUCCGCUUCCAAAAUAAAAAAAAAAGACCAGUUUGA
This is a long non-coding RNA of Notothenia coriiceps (black rockcod), 617 nucleotides long. RefSeq lists it as uncharacterized. Lineage: Eukaryota; Metazoa; Chordata; Actinopteri; Perciformes; Nototheniidae. The record is from RefSeq and is a predicted model, not a curated record. The transcript has 2 exons.